Molecule: ribosomal RNA, 507 nt
Filed under: uncultured bacterium
Lineage: Bacteria
Description: partial 16S ribosomal RNA
Rfam family: Bacterial small subunit ribosomal RNA
Source: RNAcentral
GACGAACGCUGGCGGCGUGCCUAAUACAUGCAAGUCGAACGCAUUUUCUUUCACCGUAGCUUGCUUCACCGAAAGAAAAUGAGUGGCGUACGGGUGAGUAACACGUGGGUUACCUGCCCAUCAGCGGUGGAUAACACUUGGUAACACCUGCUAAUACCGCAUAAUUCCAUUUACCGCUUUGUAAAUGGAUGUUACGCCCUUUUGCGUCACUGAUGCAUGGUCCCGCGUUGGAUUUGGUAGUAGGUGGGGUAACGGCCUUCCAAUGCGGCGAUACAUAGCCGACCUGGAAGGGGGAUAGGCAACAAUGGGAAGGAGACAAGGCCAAAAAGACUAAGGGAGGGAGCAGUAGGGAAUCUUCGGAAAGGGACGAAAGUCUGACCGAGCAACGCCGGGGGAGUGAAGAAGGGUUUCGGAUCGUAAAACUCUGUUGGUAGAGAAGAAAAAGGAGGAGAGUGGAAAGUUCAUCCAGUGACGGUAACUAACCAGAAAGCGACGGCUAACUACGUG